Molecule: long non-coding RNA, 1688 nt
Organism: Macaca fascicularis (crab-eating macaque)
Lineage: Eukaryota; Metazoa; Chordata; Mammalia; Primates; Cercopithecidae
Source: Ensembl
GAAAGGAUCUUGCUCUGUUGCCCAGGCUGGAGUGCAGUGGCACGAUCCCAGCUCACUGCAACCUCCGCCUCCUGGGUUCAAGCAAUUCCUCUGCCUCAGCCUCUUGAGAAGCUGGGAUUACAGGCACACGCCACUACGCCCGGCUAAUUUUUGUAUUUUCAGUAGAGACGGGGGUCUUACCAUGUUGGCCAGGCUGGUCUCGAACUCCUGGAUUCAAGUGAUCUGCCCGCCUCGGCCUCCCAAAGUGCUGGGAUUACAGGCGUGAGCCACCGCGCCCGGACGAAAAAAACAUUUUUAAGAAAACUUACCUGGCAGAACUGUCUUCGGACUAAGGGGUCACAAGCAAAAAUUUUCACAUUUCCUAUCAAUGUAUAGUCUACCCGCUCAUUUUCAACAGAAAAACAGCAACAGAUACUAGAAAAGUUACAUUUUUGUUAGAAUAAUUUCAUCAUUAGCCGUUUCUGAUAGGCAGUAAAUGCCAUUGGAUCAGAACGCGCCAGAAACCAAGAUGUUCUAGAAACCCAGAGCCAAUAUGUCUGACUCUUAAAAUCACAGCAAGGAUAAAAUAGAGGUGAUAGAAGCACAAGACCAGACAGGGAUAGAAGAAAAAAUAAAGACUGGCUUUAACCAGGUAAUUAUUUUGUAACAGAACAUAGCACCAUUUGAGCAUCUUCACUUGCUAUUUACUUUUGGUUUUUGCCAUUUUUCUUGGGAGAUGGGGAGCAGCACACAAAAAAGAGUGAGAUAAGUUGUACUAAUUUCUUUCUAUUUUAAAUCCCCAGAGACGACAGUACAUUAAGGCACUACAAUACACGUCUCAUAAUAGCUCCUUGUGGCACUGAUUUGUAAACGUUGUAAGAAGGGACAGCUAACUAGGAUCAGACCCAGGACUUCAUUAGAAUGGAAUAAACCAAAUAGAAGUGGGUCUUCUUUCACCAUGUUUUCUCUGCAGAGAGGGAGGAGAUGAGGCUCAGAGGUGCAUAGCUGCGGACCUGACGAAAUGGCUGGUGCCCUGUGAAAGUCCCGAGUUUCUUCAGAAGAGACAAUAGGAUAUCCCAGGCAGAGCUUUCAUGAGCAAGCCUGGCCCCACCCUGGUGGAGCAAGACACUUUUGUCUAGUCCCUGGAGUAGAAUGGAGAGGCCCCCAAGCAGUGAGAAGUGCCGAACAUGCCUCCACUCCGUCGAGGUUACCCUAAGACCCUCCUCUGCCAAGCGAUGAGACGCCAAGCUCGGAGCUGGGAAACUGGAACUAACAAAUAAAUAAUAGCAGGGCCGGGCGCAUAAGCCUGUCUGUCAGGAGCAGUUUGCAUACUUUUUCAAAUAACUAUUAGCGUUGUCGGACGCCCAGUCUAACAGCCACGGGGGUGAAAGGAACCAGGGCCCAGUACCAGAGCGCCCAUUCCGGGCAGCCCCCAAACUCCUCAUCCGCAGACUGGCCGCUUUAAGGGUCCCCUACCCCCGCCCCGGGGCCUUGUUUCCAGAGACCGGCCCCCGGGAGGGCUCGGCAUCGCGCGCAGAAGGCGGCGCCCCAGGAAGACAAAGGCUCGGACUCGCCGGGCCUGGCGGCAGCGCAGACGCCAAACGCCAGCCCCAUACCCAGCCCCUCUGGCACCCGAAGGCGCGGCAUCUCCCGCCUCGCGACCCCCACGCCUUCCCGUCCCCAUGGUCCUCUGGCUCCUGCAAGGCCGC